GACAGAGGGGGCAAGCGUUGCUCGGAAUCACUGGGCGUAAAGGGCGCGUAGGCGGGAUGGCAAGUCAGUCGUGAAAUCUCUCGGCUCAACCGAGAAACGUCGGCUGAUACUGCCGUUCUUGAGGGAUGCAGAGGAGACUGGAAUUCCCGGUGUAGCGGUGAAAUGUGUAGAGAUCGGGAGGAACGCCGGUGGCGAAGGCGGGUCUCUGGGCAUUUCCUGACGCUGAGGAGCGAAAGCCAGGGGAGCAAACGGG
Molecule: ribosomal RNA, 253 nt
Filed under: uncultured bacterium
Lineage: Bacteria
Description: partial 16S ribosomal RNA
Rfam family: Bacterial small subunit ribosomal RNA
Source: RNAcentral